GAGUUUGAUCCUGGCUCAGAAUGAACGCUGGCGGCGUGCAUAACACAUGCAAGUCGUACGAGAAAUCCCGGGCUUGCUCGGGAAAGUAAAGUGGCGCACGGGUGAGUAACGCGUGGGUAACCCACCUCCGAAUCGGGAAUAACUCCGCGAAAGUGGAGCUAAUACCCGGUAAGACCACGUCUCGUCCGCGGGAUGGGGUAAAAGCUGACCUCUCCAUGGAAGUUGGCGUUCGGAGACGGGCCCGCGUCCUAUCAGCUAGUUGGUAGGGUAAUGGCCUACCAAGGCAACGACGGGUAGCUGGUCUGAGAGGAUGAUCAGCCACACUGGAACUGGAACACGGUCCAGACUCCUACGGGAGGCAGCAGUGAGGAAUUUUGCGCAAUGGGCGAAAGCCUGACGCAGCAACGCCGCGUGGGUGAAGAAGGCCUUCGGGUCGUAAAGCCCUGUCAGGUGGGAAGAACCGUUCCGGCACGAAUACUGCCGGAACCUGACGGUACCACCAGAGGAAGCACCGGCCAACUCCGUGCCAGCAGCCGCGGUAA
This 542-nucleotide ribosomal RNA is filed under the name uncultured prokaryote. RNAcentral's name for it is "bacterial SSU rRNA". It matches the Rfam family "Bacterial small subunit ribosomal RNA", at positions 9 to 523 of the family's 1533-position model. The record is from RNAcentral.